UGAAGAGUUUGAUCCUGGCUCAGGAUAAACGCUGGCGGCGUGCCUAAUGCAUGCAAGUCGAACGGGAGUAGCAAUACUCAAGUGGCAAACGGGUGAGUAACACGUGGGAACCUGCCCUUUAGUGGGGGACAACCUUUCGAAAGAGAGGCUAAUACCGCAUACGGUGGAGACACUAAAGCAGCAAUGCGCUGAAGGAGGGGCCUGCGUCUGAUUAGCUAGUAGGUGGGGUAAAAGCCUACCUAGGCGAUGAUCAGUAGCUGGUCUGAGAGGAUGGUCAGCCACACUGGGACUGAGAAACGGCCCAGACUCCUACGGGAGGCAGCAGCAAGGAAUUUUCGGCAAUGGGGGAAACCCUGACCGAGCAACGCCGCGUGGGCGAUGAAGUCUUUCGGGAUGUAAAGCCCUUUUCUGUGGGAAGAGCAAGGACGGUACCACAGGAAUAAGCACCGGCUAACUACGUGCCAGCAGCCGCGGUAAUACGUAGGGUGCAAGCGUUGUCCGGAUUUACUGGGCGUAAAGGGCGCGCAGGCGGCUUGUUAAGUUACUCGUGAAAGCCCCCGGCUAAACCGGGGAGGGUCGAGUGAUACUGGCAGGCUAAGAGAGCAGCAGAGGAUAGUGGAAUUCCCGGUGUAGUGGUGAAAUGCGUAGAUAUCGGGAGGAACACCAGUGGCGAAAGCGACUAUCUGGGCUGUGUCUGACGCUGAGGCGCGAAGGCUAGGGGAGCAAACAGGAUUAGAUACCCUGGUAGUCCUAGCAGUAAACGAUGAACACUAGGUGUGCGGGGAAAUUGACCCCCUGCGUGCCGUAGCUAACGCAAUAAGUGUUCCGCCUGGGGAGUACGGUCGCAAGAUUAAAACUCAAAGGAAUUGACGGGGACCCGCACAAGCAGCGGAGCGUGUGGUUUAAUUCGACGCAACGCGAAGAACCUUACCAGGGCUUGACAUACUACGUUCAAGGGCGGAAACGUUCUGGUCGCAAGACGAGUAGUACAGAUGCUGCAUGGCUGUCGUCAGCUCGUGUCGUGAGAUGUUGGGUUAAGUCCCGCAACGAGCGCAACCCCUAGUGUUAGUUGAAAGAUCUAGCGCGACUGCCGGUAGGAAACCGGAGGAAGGUGGGGAUGACGUCAAGUCAGCAUGGCUCUUACGUCCUGGGCUACACACACGCUACAAUGGCUGGUACAAAGCGAAGCGAGACGGCGACGUGGAGCGGAUCGCAAAAAGCCAGUCUCAGUUCGGAUAGCAGGCUGCAACUCGCCUGCUUGAAGUCGGAGUUGCUAGUAAUCGCGCAUCAGCACGGUGCGAUGAAUAUGUUCCCGGGUCUUGUACACACCGCCCGUCACGUCAUGGAAGCUGGUAACACCUGAAGCCGGUGUGCUAACCGCAAGGAGGCAGCUGUCGAGGGUGGGAUUAGUGACUGGGACGAAGUCGUAACAAGGUAGCCGUAGCGGAAGCUGCGGCUGGAUCACCUCCUUUCUAGGGA
RNAcentral lists this ribosomal RNA (1479 nucleotides) under Candidatus Chlorohelix allophototropha. RNAcentral describes it as "bacterial SSU rRNA". It matches the Rfam family "Bacterial small subunit ribosomal RNA". The record is from RNAcentral. Lineage: Bacteria; Bacillati; Chloroflexota; Chloroflexia; Candidatus Chloroheliales; Candidatus Chloroheliaceae.